GCUAAAUAUGUAACCAUCAAUGAUGCUGGACCAAAAGGGAGUUCAGGUAUCACUGAGAUGCCAAACAGAAGGUUACCUCCAUUCAUGGUGGAGCACAUCAUCGACUCUUCAUCAGCUACCUGCAUGUUAAGGAAGAUAUUAUCUGGAGUGCUCUACAUAUGGCAAAUGCCAAUGUGUGCUGAUUAUCGAGAUCAGCUGGACAAGCAGUGAGAACCCUGCUCAUUAGGCCACAAGAGUAAUCCCAAGGGUGUAAGAAAAAAAACUCACCAGCCCCUUGAAAGUAUAGGCUAUUAUUAAUUCAUCUUUACCUUGUAGGAUGAAAUUCUGUGUCUGACUUGCUAUGUGCAAUCAGAGAAACCCUGAAACAGUGAGUAAAUUCUCGAGGCCUGAGACCACAUGGCACCUAGUGCGGUGUGCCCUGAAGGAGGUGGACCUGGGAGCCAAGUUCCCAUGCUCAUCUUGUUAGAUUCUGACGUUAUUAUAUUGUUACAGAAUGUAGUGACAUUAUUAUAUUAUUACAUUCUUUGAUCAAAAUGUUUACACUUCUCAAGGCUGAACACUAUAAUCAAAGCUGAAAAAUGACCCAAAGCAGCUUUUAGAGUCUAUUGAUGAGUUUGAUCGGGGCAGGCCAUAUUCCAAGGGCUGCUUAACAUAGGUAUGAGUCAAGGACAGGAAAGGUAUGGGGAGUCCACUUGAAGCAUACAAAGAAACAGGAGUGAGCCGCUCCAACUAGGAUCCAUGCUAUUACUGUCUGAACUCUGCAUGCUGACAGUUUUCAGACAGCAGAAGCCCGAAUUUUACAAAGUGCCUAUGAAAUUCUUAUUAUUAUUUUUUAAAACCUUCUCCCUUCUCUCCUGUUGACUACUUGGGAUUUGCCUGCAUGUUACACAUUGCUUCCCAAAUCAAGGAUUCCAGCAGAGUUAUGAUGUCACUCUUCAUCACUCACCAGGCUAAGAAACAAUCCAAAAAUAAGAAAAACAAACAAACGAACGAAAGUCCUAAAUUGGGUACUGCCAAGAGCUCAGCACCAUGGCUCCUUAGGAAUGGUCUCUUGCAGAUAAUUGCUGAGAAGGCUUACGGUUUACUGACCUGCUGGGGUGCACGGAGAAUUAUUGACUCAGACCUAAUUAAAUUGUUGCCUGCUGCUUUUUUGAAAUUCUGCCAGGGAAUCCUUGCUGUCCUUAGCAGAGUCUUUCAGUUGGAGGCUGUGGCUGAACUGUACCAAGGGCGUUUUAUGCUAUACAGGAAUGCAAGCUUGACUGAAAAUGUUCUUCAGUAUUUUAAUCUGCAGUUGAUCAUCACGGCCAGUAGAUGGUGCUGGUGUCCCUACAAGGAAAAUUCUGAGCAGCAUUAAAUACGAGAAAUUUUUAGAAAUCUGGGAAUUUAAUGAAUCUCCAACUAAACCCAAUAGAGAAAUUAAGAAUAGUUAUUUCUUGAAACAAUUUUAUGACACCAGAAAAAAUAUCUCCACGAGUUCCUUUUUCUUCACAGGAAAACACAAUGCCUGAUUUCUGUCUAAACAUCCCACAUUUGAACUCUAAAUUUAUAUUUAAGAUCAUGGACAUGUGGUUUCAAUAAGGACACUGUGGAUGAUGCCCAGCUCAGACACAGAACUUGGAGGCUUUGAGCUGGAUCUAAUCUGAAGGCUGGCUUUCAGAGUCCUGGAAGGUAUAUUGCAAACUGCUAAGGCAAGCAGACAGCCAAUAAUUCUACACAGCUAUUACUGACACCCACAAACCGCAACAGUGACCAGCACAGCAAGAUGUCCCUACAGCUCAUGGAACAACAGUGUGCAUGUUCCUCAAAGAUCUCAAAAUAGAUCUACUAUAUUAUCCAGCUAUACCACUCUUGGGUGUAUACCCAAGGACUGUAUGUUCUACUACAGCGAGUUCUGCUACCUGCUCAUUCAUAUUCAUGGUUGCUCUAUGUAUAAUGGCCAGUAAAUGGAAGCAGCCAAGAUGUCCAUAAUAAAAUGUGGUCUAUUUACA
This 1988-nucleotide long non-coding RNA is filed under the name Mus spicilegus (steppe mouse). RNAcentral describes it as "lncRNA (ENSMSIG00000017046.1)". The record is from RNAcentral. Lineage: Eukaryota; Metazoa; Chordata; Mammalia; Rodentia; Muridae.